This 205-nucleotide ribosomal RNA is filed under the name Escherichia coli. RNAcentral describes it as "partial 23S ribosomal RNA". It matches the Rfam family "Bacterial large subunit ribosomal RNA", at positions 1 to 203 of the family's 2925-position model. Lineage: Bacteria; Pseudomonadati; Pseudomonadota; Gammaproteobacteria; Enterobacterales; Enterobacteriaceae. The record is from RNAcentral.
UUGUAAGUAAUGAAGAGCGUACGGUGGAUGCCUUGGCACCAGGAGCCGAUGAAGGACGUAGGAGGCUGCGAUAAGCCUCGGGGAGCUGUCAACCGAGCUGAGAUCCGAGGAAGUCCGAAUGGGGAAACCCAGCACGAGUGAUGUCGUGUAACCCGCACCUGAAUAUAUAGGGUGUGUGGAGGGAACGUGGGGAAGUGAAACAUCU